GAGUUUGAUCAUGGCUCAGAUUGAACGCUGGCGGCAUGCUUUACACAUGCAAGUCGAACGGAUCUAGGGGCUUGCUCCUAGGUUAGUGGCGAACGGGUGAGUAAUGCAUCGGAACGUACCGUGUAGUGGGGGAUAACCCGGCGAAAGUCGGAUUAAUACCGCAUACGAUCUACGGAUGAAAGCGGGGGACCUUAGGGCCUCGCGCUAUACGAGCGGCCGAUGUCGGAUUAGCUAGUUGGUGAGGUAAAGGCUCACCAAGGCGACGAUCCGUAGCGGGUCUGAGAGGAUGAUCCGCCACACUGGGACUGAGACACGGCCCAGACUCCUACGGGAGGCAGCAGUGGGGAAUUUUGGACAAUGGACGCAAGUCUGAUCCAGCCAUGCCGCGUGAGUGAAGAAGGCCUUCGGUUGUAAG
Molecule: ribosomal RNA, 415 nt
Filed under: uncultured beta proteobacterium
Lineage: Bacteria; Pseudomonadati; Pseudomonadota; Betaproteobacteria
Description: bacterial SSU rRNA
Rfam family: Bacterial small subunit ribosomal RNA
Source: RNAcentral